CGUUUCUCUAAUUCUCUCAAUUGCCAUUUGAAAUAACAUGUGCAAUGAGAGAAUACGGAAAAAUGAUGAAAACGAUGAUGUCUCUUAAAAUCCUGAAAUCUAUAUUUCUCCGACUGAAUAAGAAUACAGAUGAAAUUUGAGAGAAAAU
Long non-coding RNA from Bradysia coprophila, 148 nucleotides. The record is from RefSeq and is a predicted model, not a curated record. Lineage: Eukaryota; Metazoa; Arthropoda; Insecta; Diptera; Sciaridae.